Molecule: ribosomal RNA, 254 nt
Filed under: uncultured bacterium
Lineage: Bacteria
Description: partial 16S ribosomal RNA
Rfam family: Bacterial small subunit ribosomal RNA
Source: RNAcentral
UACGUAGGUGACCAGCGUUGUCCGGAUUUACUGGGCGUAAAGAGCGCGCAGGCGGUCGUUCAAGUCGAGUGUGAAAGCCCCCGGCUCAACUGGGGAGGGUCAUUCGAUACUGAUCGACUUGAAGGCAGGAGAGGGAAGUGGAAUUCUCGGUGUAGCGGUGAAAUGCGUAGAUAUCAAGAGGAACACCUGAGGUGAAGACGGGUUGCUGGGCCGACACUGACGCUGAGUGCGCGAAAGCCAGGGGAGCAAACGGG